AGAACCAUACUCGUGUUGAGAUUUCACUCACCUUCAAGGAGGAUGGGUCUCCCAAGCGAGCACAGCUCAUCGGGGUGCAUGGGGCUGGCCACUAACAUCCUUGCCUUGUGUGUGCUCUGGGGACCAGCCAUGGCUAUGACUGUGUGUUUGUUGAACUUGGUGCAGGCGAAGGCAGGAGCUGCCCACGCCUUUCUCCACGACCUUCUAGCUCUAGCCUUGACUGGAAGCUUGGCCUUGCUCCUUUUGUUCUAGAAUUCAUUCUGUCUCCAGACAGCUUUCUAGGUAAAGCUCCCAGGAGCUGAAGUACAUUCUGAUCACUGACUCCUUCUCAACUCCCCGCAGGAGCCCAGCAGGGGAAGAACAAGGUGGGGCUCCUGGUGCUAAAAGCUGGAGAGAGGACAAGACCCAGGGUCUCUAUGAAUAGCGGGAUUGGAUGGCCCGAGGAGGAGGAGGCGACAGAAAAGAAGACAGACAGGGGAGCGUGAAACCUGUCUUCUUCUCAUUUAGUAUCUCAAACUUCUUGGUGUCAGGACCACUUGACAUCCUUAACAAUUAUCGAGGAUCCCAAAGAGCUUUUUGUUAUGUAGGUUUUAUCUAUCGAUAUGGACCAUAUUAGGAAUUAAAACUGUGAAAUAUACAAAAUAUGUAUUCAUUUAAAAAUCAAUGACAGUGAACCCAUUACAUGUUAGCA
Molecule: long non-coding RNA, 691 nt
Filed under: Pan troglodytes (chimpanzee)
Lineage: Eukaryota; Metazoa; Chordata; Mammalia; Primates; Hominidae
Description: long non-coding RNA NONPTRT017176
Source: RNAcentral